GUCAAAUGUGUUAAAACUCUACAGUGUAUUGUAGCUACCUUUUUAGUUGUGAUUCUUUUAUUCUUAUGUCUGUAAUAGCAGAUGGAUGUUGUGAGGUUUGGUGGUAUUUUUUAUUCCUUUCAAAAAGGUAGAAGGAAGAAUGCAGAGCUGUGGUCCCGUAGUACAAGCAGUAUAAGAAGUUAUUUUCCAGGUUCUGCAGCUCAGGUACGGGGUAACAAGCUUUCAGCAUCCACUCAGCACAGGGAUUACCAGCAGCAUCCUUUGAAUUUUGACCCAAGAAGCAGAAAUGGAACAGGAGGAAACACUCAACGACCAAAGACAGUGCCUAGCAGAUGGAAGGAGAGAAUGGCAGAUAGGCUAUUAACCACACCUAAAUGAAAAGUCUCUUCCUACUGUCUUCAAGCCGCUACAGAAACAAAGGAUGGUCCAGAAGUAAACCUAAAUGUAUUUUUUAAUCAGUCCAGAGCAUUUUAGAAAACGCCACUGAACUGGUAACUUUGAAGUAUGAAAAGAACAAUUUAUAUACAAAUCAAAGAGAGGCAGUGAUACUCCAGUGCUGUGAUACGCACUUGAACAUACUUGGCUGCAGCAUGCAACACCAGCUUCGGUCAGUUAACCUGCUCAUCCAUUUUCGGUACUGGGUGAUGCAGAACCUUCUUCUGAGCAAGGGCAGCACUGUCCUCCCUUCAGACAAUGCAGAACAGUAUGGAAAGGCAAGGAUAUCAGUCAAAACUAAAAGGCUUCCUUUUAUUGGGGUAACCUUGGAACAUAAUGGUGCAAUGCAUAGCUAACUGCUUAGAGCAAAAGCAUUGGAUCUGGUGUUUGGCAUGGGGGGGGGGGGUUGUUGUUUUAACUGCUUUCCUAUUGCAACCCCUGACCACCCCCUCCCGCCCAAUGAAGUGCUCUCACCCCCAGAGGUCACUGCCUGUACACUGAACCUGUCAUAACUGUUUAAAGAUGACUCAUCAAAACUGUCAACAUUUCCACCUUCCCUAGCAACUUCUCUGCCCUCCCCUUCGAAAGAUGAAGGGCAGCUCCUUGCACAAUGCUAUAUUAACAGAAGAAAAAAAAAAAAGCAUAAAUUCAUCUGCAUUUCUGUUGCAUGGAAAAAAGAUUGCUUUUAGAACCUAGCCAAUAAAGGACUCAAAAUUGUCUGUCAG
This 1160-nucleotide long non-coding RNA is filed under the name Otus sunia (Oriental scops-owl). RNAcentral describes it as "lncRNA (ENSOSUG00000012649.1)". Lineage: Eukaryota; Metazoa; Chordata; Aves; Strigiformes; Strigidae. The record is from RNAcentral.